UACGUAGGGUGCGAGCGUUAAUCGGAAUUACUGGGCGUAAAGCGUGCGUAGGCGGUUGCACAAGCUUGAUGUGAAAGCCCCGGGCUCAACCUGGGAAUGGCAUUGAGGACUGUGCGGCUUGAGUGCGGCAGAGGGAGGUGGAAUUCCAGGUGUAGCAGUGAAAUGCGUAGAGAUCUGGAGGAACACCGAUGGCGAAGGCAGCCUCCUGGGCCGACACUGACGCUGAUGCACGAAAGCGUGGGGAGCAAACAGG
Molecule: ribosomal RNA, 253 nt
Filed under: uncultured bacterium
Lineage: Bacteria
Description: partial 16S ribosomal RNA
Rfam family: Bacterial small subunit ribosomal RNA
Source: RNAcentral